GACGAACGCUGGCGGCGUGCUUAACACAUGCAAGUCGAACGGAAAGGCCCUGCUUUUGUGGGGUGCUCGAGUGGCGAACGGGUGAGUAACACGUGAGUAACCUGCCCUUGACUUUGGGAUAACUUCAGGAAAUUGGGGCUAAUACCGGAUAGGAGCUCCUGCUGCAUGGUGGGGGUUGGAAAGUUUCGGCGGUUGGGGAUGGACUCGCGGCUUAUCAGCUUGUUGGUGGGGUAGUGGCUUACCAAGGCUUUGACGGGUAGCCGGCCUGAGAGGGUGACCGGCCACAUUGGGACUGAGAUACGGCCCAGACUCCGACGGGAGGCAGCAGUGGGGAAUAUUGCACAAGGGGCGGAAGCCUGAUGCAGCAACGCCGCGUGCGGGAUGACGGCCUUCGGGUUGUAAACCGCUUUCGCCUGUGACGAAGCGUGAGUGACGGUAAUGGGUAAAGAAGCACCGGCUAACUACGUG
Molecule: ribosomal RNA, 468 nt
Filed under: uncultured bacterium
Lineage: Bacteria
Description: partial 16S ribosomal RNA
Rfam family: Bacterial small subunit ribosomal RNA
Source: RNAcentral